AUCAACGCUGGCGGCGUGCCUAACACAUGCAAGUCGAACGCGAAAACCCCGCAAGGGGUUAGUAGAGUGGCAAACGGGUGAGUAACGCGUGGGUGACCUGCCUUCGAGCGGGGGAUAACGUUCCGAAAGGGACGCUAAUACCGCAUAACAUCCUGCCUUUGAACAGGUGGCGAUCAAAGCUGGGGACCGCAAGGCCCGGCACUUGAAGAGGGGCCCGCGUCUGAUUAGCUAGUUGGUGAGGUAACGGCUCACCAAGGCGACGAUCAGUAUCCGGCCUGAGAGGGCGGACGGACACACUGGGACUGAGACACGGCCCAGACUCCUACGGGAGGCAGCAGUGAGGAAUAUUGCUCAAUGGGCGAAAGCCUGAAGCAGCAACGCCGCGUGUGGGAUGAAGGCCCUCUGGGUUGUAAACCACUGUAGAAAGGGACAAAGGUCAUGCUCCGCAUGACUGGAUGGUACCUUUAAAGUAAGCCUCGGCUAACUACGUGCCAGCAGGCCGCGGUAAUACGUAGGAGGCAAGCGUUGUCCGGAAUCACUGGGUGUAAAGGGUGCGCAGGCGGGAAGGUAAGUCAAUGGUGAAAUCUCACGGCUCAACCGUGAAACUGCCAUUGAUACUGCUUUUCUUGAGUUUGGGAGAGGGUGGUGGAAUUCUUGGUGUAGCGGUGAAAUGCGUAGAUAUCAAGAAGAACACCAGUGGCGAAGGCGGCCACCUGGCCCAUAACUGACGCUCAUGCACGAAAGCGUGGGGAUCAAAC
Molecule: ribosomal RNA, 758 nt
Filed under: uncultured soil bacterium
Lineage: Bacteria
Description: bacterial SSU rRNA
Rfam family: Bacterial small subunit ribosomal RNA
Source: RNAcentral